Molecule: ribosomal RNA, 440 nt
Filed under: uncultured bacterium
Lineage: Bacteria
Description: partial 16S ribosomal RNA
Rfam family: Bacterial small subunit ribosomal RNA
Source: RNAcentral
CCUACGGGAGGCUGCAGUGGGGAAUAUUGCACAAUGGGGGCAACCCUGAUGCAGCGACGCCGCGUGAGUGAAGAAGUAUUUCGGUAUGUAAAGCUCUAUCAGCAGGGAAGAAAAUGACGGUACCUGUUUAAGAAGCCCCGGCUAACUACGUGCCAGCAGCCGCGGUAAUACGUAGGGGGCAAGCGUUAUCCGGAUUUACUGGGUGUAAAGGGAGCGUAGACGGCAGCACAAGUCUGGAGUGAAAUGCCGGGGCUUAACCCCGGAACUGCUUUGGAAACUGGGCAGCUAGAGUGCAGGAGAGGUAAGUGGAAUUCCUAGUGUAGCGGUGAAAUGCGUAGAUAUUAGGAGGAACACCAGUGGCGAAGGCGGCUUACUGGACUGUAACUGACGUUGAGGCUCGAAAGCGUGGGGAGCAAACAGGAUUAGAUACCCCAGUAGUC